This is a long non-coding RNA of Apis dorsata (giant honeybee), 1334 nucleotides long. RefSeq lists it as uncharacterized. The record is from RefSeq and is a predicted model, not a curated record. The transcript has 2 exons. Lineage: Eukaryota; Metazoa; Arthropoda; Insecta; Hymenoptera; Apidae.
AAGUGUUUAUAGUGAAACAACAACAUUACAAGUAAGGCAGUAUACCAUAUAAUAGCAACGUCACUGAAAACAAAAAUAUUCGGUUUUACUGGUAAAAAAUAGUUGAGAACGGUUGAUUUGUAAGCACGACAAUAUUUGGUUAAAACACUUGAACAUAGAGGUCUCCACUUGACUAUAAAAAUGCAAGUUCAAAAUGCUAACUUCACAAGUCUCCUCUCUACACGCUUCUCGUUUCGCGACUUAACUUGUAAUUGCAUUCUUACCAUGGAGACUUCAAUGGAAAGAUAAAUAAAAACGAAAUCUCACGCAUCAAUGACGAGAAUCGAACAAAGGAGAAGGACGAGGAAGCAGAGUCGAUCUCUUUGAUUCCAUUAUUGCUCGACCUAAUUGGAUUCCACCGCGCGAUCGCGGGCUGCAACGUCUAUAAACCCGCGGCCGACGAAACCAAUUUGGGCAUUCCUACGGAUACGUAGCCGGUGGAUCCGUCGUCGAUCUAUAGAUCACUCGCCGCUACCUGUGCCAGUGAUGGCUUGCCCAAAUUUUCGACCAUGCGAUCCCCGAUCGUGCAAAAGCCGCCUUCGGUAUUCGAGAUACGACCGCGGUUUCGGGGGAAACUCAAUUUUCGUGGGAUGAUGUACAGUGACAUUGUUCGAAGAAGAAAAAUACUAGGUAAGGAAAGUAGCAGCAAUGGUGGUGCUUCACAGAACCCGUAAAAGUGAUUUGUUCUGCUAUUAACGAGACGCGGAUAGCAGGAACGUUAAUGGAAAAUUAUCGACAGUUACGAGACUCGAUACACCGUUACGACUGGUGAACGUCGUAAAUAACAGUCGGUUAUAUGCUUGAAAAUACCUUAAAGGCGUGCUAGUUUCUUGCAACGUAGCGAGUUAACCUAUAACCGGAAUGUGUCGAGCGAUUUUGAACUCGAAACAUCUUUAAAACGCAAAUUUUUCAAACAUAAAUAGAAGAAACUUCGAAAAUAUUUCGCAUCUUUUUGAUAGAAAAGAAAAGUAAGUAUCGCGAAAAAUCGUAAACUUUAUUCUACUUGAAGAAAUAUUUCAUGCUUUAUUCGAAAGGAAGACAAGGGGAUUAGAGUCGUUUUAACCUCAAACGUCUUAACGUCAAACUCGAAGAAUAUGCCAUUUUCGAAGAAAAAGAAAAAUAUUAUCGAGUCUCGGCAAUCUCUUUUCUAUAAAAAAAAAAUCAAAAAAAAAAAAAAAUGGAAAUAUCAAAGAUUACGAGUUAGUUAAAAAAACGUAGAGUGACAAGUUCCAUCUUUUCCCGAAAAUAAAGGAUAGAAAAAUCAAAAGCUGUUCAAUUGGUGGAUAAAUAAGAAA